AGUAACGGCGAGUGAAGCGGCAACAGCUCAAAUUUGAAAUCUGGCCCUCGGGUCCGAAUUGUAAUUUGUAGAGGAUGCUUUUGGUGAGGUACCUUCCGAGUUCCCUGGAACGGGACGCCAUAGAGGGUGAGAGCCCCGUCUGGUUGGAUACCGCUCCUCUGUAAAGCUCCUUCGACGAGUCGAGUUGUUUGGGA
RNAcentral lists this ribosomal RNA (194 nucleotides) under Ilyonectria destructans. RNAcentral describes it as "partial large subunit ribosomal RNA". It matches the Rfam family "Eukaryotic large subunit ribosomal RNA", at positions 82 to 279 of the family's 3401-position model. The record is from RNAcentral. Lineage: Eukaryota; Fungi; Ascomycota; Sordariomycetes; Hypocreales; Nectriaceae.